CCUCGUUUCGAGGGGAGUCCCGCAAGGGGCUGAGAGGCUGUUGGAUCUAACCACGAUCGGCACAGCGACCCUUAGAACCUGAUCCGGUUCAUACCGGCGAAGGGACUGAACGCGCGGGUGGCC
Molecule: regulatory RNA element, 123 nt
Organism: Elstera litoralis
Lineage: Bacteria; Pseudomonadati; Pseudomonadota; Alphaproteobacteria; Rhodospirillales; Rhodospirillaceae
Rfam family: TPP riboswitch aptamer (THI element)
About the family: Vitamin B(1) in its active form thiamin pyrophosphate (TPP) is an essential coenzyme that is synthesised by coupling of pyrimidine and thiazole moieties in bacteria.
Source: Rfam